CGGACCACUGAGCCGGGGACAGCUUGUCUGUGGAGAGACGUCCGGAGCUCAGGGACUGCUGGAUGUCCUCCACCAGGGAACGCUCGUCCAGCUCGUUCAGGCAGUGGAACAGAGACAGACCCAGGAAGAAGCGGAGGAACAGGUCCAAGUGUCCGUUUGGAGACUCCAAGGCUCGGUCGAUGUAAAUCCUGUGGAUCUUAGCUGAGGAUGCUUUGAUCUCUGUGAAAACCCCGGAGCACACCGAGGCCUCUUUGAGAUCCACGCUGCUCUCCAUCAGGUCCUUCCUGUAGAAGAUCAUGUUGCCCUUCUCCAGCUGCUGUAGCUGCAUCUCCCUGCUGACGUCCUCCUGUGGAUGAUGCCUUGCAGUGGUUGGCUCUGCCUUGCUCACAGACACUAC
Long non-coding RNA from Fundulus heteroclitus (mummichog), 397 nucleotides. RefSeq lists it as uncharacterized. The transcript is spliced from 4 exons. Lineage: Eukaryota; Metazoa; Chordata; Actinopteri; Cyprinodontiformes; Fundulidae. The record is from RefSeq and is a predicted model, not a curated record.